Molecule: long non-coding RNA, 225 nt
Filed under: Homo sapiens (human)
Lineage: Eukaryota; Metazoa; Chordata; Mammalia; Primates; Hominidae
Description: HSALNT0006146
Source: RNAcentral
AGGUCAGCUUAUGCUGCCCAGGCUGGACUCAAACUCCUGGGCUCAACGAUCGUCUUGCCUCAGCUUCCCAAGUAGCUAGGACUACAGGAGGAGGUCUGCUUAGACCCUGAAAAAAAAAGGGGGGGACUCAUAUCCUAAAACCAGCCUAUCUUUGCCUUGCCAUGAACUGACUGAUCUGGCCACAGGAGGCCUGAAGUCUGACUACCCCUCUAUAGAAACACAGAG